RNAcentral lists this unclassified non-coding RNA (150 nucleotides) under soil metagenome. Its description in RNAcentral is "partial internal transcribed spacer 1". The record is from RNAcentral.
CCGAGUUUACAACUCCCAAACCCCUGUGAACAUACCACUAUGUUGCCUCGGCGGAUCAGCCCGCGCCCGUAAAACGGGACGGCCCGCCAGCAGGAUCCACCUAAACUCUGUUUCUAUAUGUAACUUCUGAGUAAAAACCAUAAUAAAUCA